Molecule: ribosomal RNA, 937 nt
Filed under: uncultured bacterium
Lineage: Bacteria
Description: bacterial SSU rRNA
Rfam family: Bacterial small subunit ribosomal RNA
Source: RNAcentral
GCUUGCUCCUGGUGGCGAGUGGCGAACGGGUGAGUAAUGCGUCGGAACGUACCGAGUAAUGGGGGAUAACGCAGCGAAAGUUGUGCUAAUACCGCAUACGCCCUGAGGGGGAAAGCGGGGGAUCGUAAGACCUCGCGUUAUUCGAGCGGCCGACGUCUGAUUAGCUAGUUGGUGGGGUAAAGGCCUACCAAGGCGACGAUCAGUAGCGGGUCUGAGAGGAUGAUCCGCCACACUGGGACUGAGACACGGCCCAGACUCCUACGGGAGGCAGCAGUGGGGAAUUUUGGACAAUGGGGGCAACCCUGAUCCAGCCAUUCCGCGUGAGUGAAGAAGGCCUUCGGGUUGUAAAGCUCUUUCAGCUGGAGUGAAACGGUGAGCUCUAACAUAGCUUGCUAAUGACGGUACCAGCAGAAGAAGCACCGGCUAACUACGUGCCAGCAGCCGCGGUAAUACGUAGGGUGCGAGCGUUAAUCGGAAUUACUGGGCGUAAAGCGUGCGCAGGCGGAUUGUUAAGCAAGACGUGAAAUCCCCGGGCUUAACCUGGGAAUGGCGUUUUGAACUGGCAGUCUAGAGUGCGUCAGAGGGGGGUGGAAUUCCACGUGUAGCAGUGAAAUGCGUAGAGAUGUGGAGGAACACCGAUGGCGGAGGCAGCCCCCUGGGAUGACACUGACGCUCAUGUACGAAAGCGUGGGUAGCAAACAGGAUUAGAUACCCUGGUAGUCCACGCCCUAAACGAUGUCAACUGGUUGUUGGGGGAGUGAAAUCCCUUAGUAACGAAGCUAACGCGUGAAGUUGACCGCCUGGGGAGUACGGUCGCAAGAUUAAAACUCAAAGGAAUUGACGGGGACCCGCACAAGCGGUGGAUGAUGUGGAUUAAUUCGAUGCAACGCGAAAAACCUUACCUACCCUUGACAUGUCCAGAACCCUGAAGAGAUUU